CCCUUAGAUGUUCUGGGCCGCACGCGCGCUACACUGACGAUGGCAACGAGUUUUUCCUUCGCCGAAAGGUGUGGGUAAUCUUUUGAAACAUCGUCGUGCUGGGGAUAGAUCAUUGCAAUUUUUGAUCUUGAACGAGGAAUUCCUAGUAAGCGCGAGUCAUCAGCUCGCGUUGCUUACGUCCCUGCCCUUUGUACACACCGCCCGUCGCUACUACCGAUUGAAUGGUUUAGUGAGGACUCCUGAUUGGCGCCGCCGCCCCGGCAACGGAGCAGCGGACUGCCGAAAAGUUGUUCAAACUUGAUCAUUUAGAGGAAGUAAAAGUCGUAACA
Molecule: ribosomal RNA, 329 nt
Filed under: uncultured eukaryote
Lineage: Eukaryota
Description: partial 18S ribosomal RNA
Rfam family: Eukaryotic small subunit ribosomal RNA
Source: RNAcentral